UCCUGACUGACCGAUAGUGAACCAGUACCGUGAGGGAAAGGCGAAAAGAACCCCGGCGAGGGGAGUGAAAAAGAACCUGAAACCGUGUACGUACAAGCAGUGGGAGCACGCUUAGGCGUGUGACUGCGUACCUUUUGUAUAAUGGGUCAGCGACUUAUAUUCUGUAGCAAGGUUAACCGAAUAGGGGAGCCGAAGGGAAACCGAGUCUUAACUGGGCGUUAAGUUGCAGGGUAUAGACCCGAAACCCGGUGAUCUAGCCAUGGGCAGGUUGAAGGUUGGGUAACACUAACUGGAGGACCGAACCGACUAAUGUUGAAAAAUUAGCGGAUGACUUGUGGCUGGGGGUGAAAGGCCAAUCAAAC
This 362-nucleotide ribosomal RNA is filed under the name Shigella sonnei. Its description in RNAcentral is "partial 23S ribosomal RNA". It matches the Rfam family "Bacterial large subunit ribosomal RNA", at positions 474 to 838 of the family's 2925-position model. The record is from RNAcentral. Lineage: Bacteria; Pseudomonadati; Pseudomonadota; Gammaproteobacteria; Enterobacterales; Enterobacteriaceae.